UACAGAGGUCUCAAGCGUUGUUCGGAUUCAUUGGGCGUAAAGGGUGUGUAGGUGGCGCCGUAAGUCGGGUGUGAAAUUUCGGAGCUUAACUCCGAAACUGCAUUCGAUACUGCGGUGCUUGAGGACUGGAGAGGAGACUGGAAUUCAUGGUGUAGCAGUGAAAUGCAUAGAGAUCAUGAGGAAGACCAGUGGCGAAGGCGGGUCUCUGGACAGUUCCUGACACUGAGACACGAAGGCCAGGGGAGCAAACGGG
RNAcentral lists this ribosomal RNA (253 nucleotides) under uncultured bacterium. RNAcentral describes it as "partial 16S ribosomal RNA". It matches the Rfam family "Bacterial small subunit ribosomal RNA", at positions 524 to 776 of the family's 1533-position model. The record is from RNAcentral.